The sequence is a ribosomal RNA, 207 nucleotides long. It matches the Rfam family "Bacterial small subunit ribosomal RNA", at positions 568 to 774 of the family's 1533-position model.
CGUGUAGGCGGGAAUGCAAGUCAGAUGUGAAAUUCCGAGGCUUAACCUCGGCGCUGCAUCUGAAACUGUGUUUCUUGAGUACUGGAGAGGAAAGCGGAAUUCCUAGUGUAGCGGUGAAAUGCGUAGAUAUUAGGAGGAACACCAGUGGCGAAGGCGGCUUUCUGGACAGUAACUGACGCUGAGGCGCGAAAGCGUGGGGAGCAAACA